This 425-nucleotide ribosomal RNA is filed under the name uncultured bacterium. RNAcentral's name for it is "bacterial SSU rRNA". It matches the Rfam family "Bacterial small subunit ribosomal RNA", at positions 354 to 796 of the family's 1533-position model. The record is from RNAcentral.
GUGGGGAAUUUUGCGCAAUGGGGGAAACCCUGACGCAGCGACGCCGCGUGAAGGACGAAGGCCUUCGGGUUGUAAACUUCUUUUAUGUGGGAAGAUAAUGACGGUACCACAUGAAUAAGCCACGGCUAACUCUGUGCCAGCAGCCGCGGUAAGACAGAGGUGGCAAGCGUUGUUCGGAAUUACUGGGCUUAAAGGGCGCGUAGGCGGUAUGGUAAGUCUGGAGUGGAAUCCCAGGGCUCAACCCUGGAAUUGCUCUGGAAACUGCCAAACUUGAGUCAGUGAGGGGAGGGCGGAAUUCCUGGUGUAGCAGUGAAAUGCGUAGAUAUCAGGAGGAAGGCCGGUGGCGAAGGCGGCCCUCUGGCACUUGACUGACGCUGAGGCGCGAAAGCGUGGGGAGCAAACAGGAUUAGAAACCCGGGUAGUCC